CCAUGCAUGUCUAAGUAUAAGCAAUUAUACAGCGAAACUGCGAAUGGCUCAUUAAAUCAGUUAUCGUUUAUUUGAUAGUACCAUACUACUUGGAUAACCGUGGUAAUUCUAGAGCUAAUACAUGCUAAAAACCUCGACUUCGGAAGAGGUGUGUUUAUUAGAUUAAAGACCAAUGCCCUCCGGGGCUCACUGGUGAUUCAUAAUAACCUCUCGAAUCGCACGGCCCUGCGCCGGCGAUGGUUCAUUCAAAUUUCUGCCCUAUCAACUUUCGACUUUAGUGUAGUGGACUAAAGUGGUUGCAACGGGUAACGGAGGGUUAGGGCUCGACCCCGGAGAAGGAGCCUGAGAAACGGCUACUACAUCCAAGGAAGGCAGCAGGCGCGCAAAUUACCCAAUCCCGACACGGGGAGGUAGUGACAAUAAAUACUGAUACAGGGCUCUUUCGGGUCUUGUAAUUGGAAUGAGUACAAUUUAAAUCCCUUAACGAGGAACAAUUGGAGGGCAAGUCUGGUGCCAGCAGCCGCGGUAAUUCCAGCUCCAAUAGCGUAUAUUAAAGUUGUUGUGGUUAAAAAGCUCGUAGUUGAACCUGGGCCCCGCGCCCGCCGGUCCGCCUCACCGCGUGCACUGGCGCGGCCGGGGCUUUCACUUGGGGAACCGCAUGCCCUUCGCUGGGCGUGCGCGGAACCAGGACCUUUACUGUGAAAAAAUUAGAGUGUUCAAAGCAGGCCUAUGCUCGAAUACAUUAGCAUGGAAUAAUAGAAUAGGACGCGCGGUUCUAUUUUGUUGGUUAUGGGACCGCCGUAAUGAUUAAUAGGGCCAGUCGGGGGCAUCAGUAUUCAAUAGUCAGAGGUGAAAUUCUUGGAUUUAUUGAAGACUAACUACUGCGAAAGCAUUUGCCAAGGAUGUUUUCAUUAAUCAGGAACGAAAGUUAGGGGAUCGAAGACGAUCAGAUACCGUCGUAGUCUUAACCAUAAACUAUGCCGACUAGGGAUCGGGCGAUGUUACAUUCUGACUCGCUCGGCACCUUACGAGAAAUCAAAGUCUGUGGGUCCU
Molecule: ribosomal RNA, 1053 nt
Filed under: Lulworthia atlantica
Lineage: Eukaryota; Fungi; Ascomycota; Sordariomycetes; Lulworthiales; Lulworthiaceae
Description: SSU rRNA
Rfam family: Eukaryotic small subunit ribosomal RNA
Source: RNAcentral